UAAGCAAGCAGGUAUUUUUGAGUACUUUUAUUAAUCAAUAUUACAAAUUUUUCUGCAGUAUACUUCCAAAGAGAUAAUUUAAUUUUCCUGAUGACUAGCACUUCAUCCCCUUCUGCUUUUUUUCCUUAAGACUACCUUAAAACAAUACUUUUGAGGGGCAAAGUUGUAUGCAUGGAGAAUUUAAUCCAGGCAAAUGGUGUGGCGCUGCGACACAAAUUUUUCUGUAGCAGUAACUGGGAGAAGAGCCACAAUUCAUGACUGCUAGAGAUAGGACCUGCUUUAAAUGAAGGAAUUAAUUGUGCACAUAAUGAUGUGUCUAAGCAUUCUACAUUAACAGAAAAAUGAGUUUUACAUUUUAUACAUUUUAAAAGAAUCUCCAAGACUUAGCCCCUUUAUUUAUUCACAGGAGUGAUGGGUGAAUAUGAGCCCAAAAUAGAAGUGCAGUUCCCAGAAACAGUUCCGACUGCAAAAGGAGCAACGGUGAAGCUGGAAUGCUUUGCUUUAGGAAAUCCAGUACCAACUAUUAUCUGGCGAAGAGCUGAUGGAAAGCCAAUAGCAAGGAAAG
Molecule: small RNA, 565 nt
Filed under: Pan troglodytes (chimpanzee)
Lineage: Eukaryota; Metazoa; Chordata; Mammalia; Primates; Hominidae
Description: retained intron
Source: RNAcentral